GUGCCAGCCGCCGCGGUAAUACGGAGGGUGCAAGCGUUGUUCGGAUUUACUGGGCGUAAAGCGCGCGCAGGCGGAUUGGCAAGUCAGAUGUGAAAUCUCGGGGCUCAACCCCGAAACUGCGUCUGAAACUGCUAGUCUAGAGUUUCAUAGGGGGUAGGGGAAUUUCACGUGUAGGGGUAAAAUCCGUAGAAAUGUGAAGGAACACCCGUGCGAAGGCGCCUACCUGGAUGAACACUGACGCUGAGGCGCGAAAGCGUGGGGAGCAAACAGGAUUAGAUACCCGUGUAGUCC
RNAcentral lists this ribosomal RNA (291 nucleotides) under uncultured bacterium. RNAcentral describes it as "partial 16S ribosomal RNA". It matches the Rfam family "Bacterial small subunit ribosomal RNA", at positions 505 to 796 of the family's 1533-position model. The record is from RNAcentral.